CUGGCGGCUNGUCCAACACAUGAGGAUCGAACGAGAAAGUGGAGCAAUCCAUGAGUAAAGUGGCGCAUUUGCCCGUAACACGUGACUAACCUACCCUCGAGUGGGGAAUAACCUCGGGAAACCGGGGCUAAUACCGCAUAACAUCUACGGAUCAAAUGCGUAAGCAGCUUGAGGAGGGGGUCGCGGCCGAUUAGCUAGUUGGCGGGGUAAUGGCCCACCAAGGCAAUGAUCGGUAGCCGGCCUGAGAGGGCGCACGGCCACACUGGAACUGAAACACGGUCCAUACUCCUACGGGAGGCAGCAGUGGG
This 308-nucleotide ribosomal RNA is filed under the name uncultured Acidobacteriota bacterium. RNAcentral's name for it is "bacterial SSU rRNA". It matches the Rfam family "Bacterial small subunit ribosomal RNA", at positions 36 to 358 of the family's 1533-position model. Lineage: Bacteria; Pseudomonadati; Acidobacteriota. The record is from RNAcentral.